Transfer RNA from Felis catus (domestic cat), 85 nucleotides. It matches the Rfam family "tRNA". From Rfam's summary of the family: Transfer RNA (tRNA) molecules are approximately 80 nucleotides in length. Their secondary structure includes four short double-helical elements and three loops (D, anti-codon, and T loops). Further hydrogen bonds mediate the characteristic L-shaped molecular structure. tRNAs have two regions of fundamental functional importance: the anti-codon, which is responsible for specific mRNA codon recognition, and the 3' end, to which the tRNAs corresponding amino acid is attached (by aminoacyl-tRNA synthetases). tRNAs cope with the degeneracy of the genetic code in two manners: having more than one tRNA (with a specific anti-codon) for a particular amino acid; and 'wobble' base-pairing, i.e. permitting non-standard base-pairing at the 3rd anti-codon position. Lineage: Eukaryota; Metazoa; Chordata; Mammalia; Carnivora; Felidae. The record is from Rfam.
GCCUGGGUGGCUCAGUCGGUUGAGCGUCCGGCUUCGGCUCAGGUCAUGAGCUCACAGUUUGUGGGUUCAAGCCCCAUAUUGGGCU